GGCGCCUUUGCUGGCUGCGACCAGGAGGGUGCAGCCCCCUAGGGAGGUCCUGGCUCUCCUGCCAUGCUGCCCUCCCCUCCCUCCCUGGUAGGAGUCCUUCUCCCAGGCCCAUAUUUGCACAAAUGCUUGCCUCGCUGCUCACUCCAGAGCCCCAGCCAAGAGGUGCUAUUUUAAGAUCCCUGGACGGGAACAUUGUUGGUGGGAACAGCCCCAGCCAGCAAGCUCCCAGUUCUCAAAAAAGGGAAAGGCCUGGGUGAAUGGGCGGCCUCUGGGGUGUGCAGAGGGGCUGCCACGUCGACAUGACCCUCUGCCCAGGCCAGGUGCCAGCGUCUCCUCCCCACAGGGGGAAGUCAAAGAAAUGUGAGUUGGGGUAGGACUCCAAGAGGUGGUCUUGUUCACUGGAGACUGGGUCGCCUAGGCCUCUCUUCUGCAGAGCAUCCAGACUUGAAAACACCAAGUUUGUGUUUCUGGGUUGCAAAUUGACUCUACACUGUACCAAGUCUCUUGUUAGCACUCACCACCCACAGGCCAUCAGAGAAGCCCUCCUCCUGUGGGGAAAGCACGGCAGACUUCAGGCAAUGGUGGUUGGACAUUUGCCCUGCCCCUUAUUAUAUGGUCAUGUCCACCCCCCUCACUUCAGUGGGCCUCCGUUUCCUCACGGGGUUGUUAAAAUGCAUUAAUCAUUAAAAUUAUUGUUUGCCUGGC
RNAcentral lists this long non-coding RNA (705 nucleotides) under Homo sapiens (human). RNAcentral's name for it is "HSALNT0330167". The record is from RNAcentral. Lineage: Eukaryota; Metazoa; Chordata; Mammalia; Primates; Hominidae.